Molecule: ribosomal RNA, 468 nt
Filed under: uncultured bacterium
Lineage: Bacteria
Description: partial 16S ribosomal RNA
Rfam family: Bacterial small subunit ribosomal RNA
Source: RNAcentral
GACGAACGCUGGCGGCGUGCUUAAUACAUGCAAGUCGAACGGAAUGUCCCUGCACUUGUGGUGUGCUCGAGUGGCGAACGGGUGAGUAACACGUGAGUAACCUGCUCUGUACUUUGGGCUAACUUCAGGAAACUGGCGCUAAUACCGGAUAGGAGAUCCUGCUGUUUGGUUUGGGUUGGAAAGUUUCGGCGGAUGGGGAUGUACGCGCGGCUUUUCAGCUUGUUGGUGGGGUAGUGGCUGACCAAGGCUUUGACGGGUAGCCGGCCUGAGAGGGUGACCGGCCACAGUGGGACAGAGGUACCGCCAGGACUCCUACGGGAGGCAUCAGUGGGGAAUAGUGCGCGAUGGGCGGAAGCCGUAUGCAGCAACGCCGCGUGGUAGAUGACGGCUUUCGGGGUGUAAAACGCUUGAGCGUGUGACGAAGCGUGAGUGACGGUAACGGGUAAAGAAGCAACGGCUAACUACGUG